GGAUUCCCCUAGUAACUGCGAGUGAAGCGGGAAAAGCUCAAAUUUGAAAUCUGGCAGUCUAUUUUUUCUUCUUUGGCUGUCCGAAUUGUAAUCUAGAGAAGUGCUUACCUGCACUGGACCAUGUAUAAGUCUCCUGGAAUGGAGCGUCGCAGAGGGUGAGAAUCCCGUCUUUGACAUGGACUGCCAGUGUGUUGUGGUGUGCUCUCAAAGAGUCGAGUUGUUUGGGAAUGCAGCUCUAAAUGGGUGGUAAACUCCAUCUAAAGCUAAAUAUUGGCGAGAGACCGAUAGCGAACAAGUACCGUGAGGGAAAGAUGAAAAGGACUUUGGAAAGAGAGUUAAACAGUAUGUGAAAUUGUUGAAAGGGAAACGCUUGAAGUCAGUUGUGUCGGUUAGGGAUCAACCUAGCUUUUUUUGCUGGGUGAAUUUCCUAGUCUGACAGGCCAACAUCAGUCUUGACUGCUGGAAAAGAGCAGGGGGAAUGUGGCACCUUUGGGUGUGUUAUAGCCUUUUGUCAUAUGUGGCAGUUGGGACUGAGGGAUGCAGCGUGCCGCGAGGCUGGGUUUCGACCACGUUCACGCUUAGGAUGUUGGCUUUUAAUGGCUUCAAUCGACCCGUCUUGAAACACGGACCAAGGAGUCUAACAUGCCUGCGAGUGUUUGGGUGGAAAACCCUUGCGCGCAAUGAAAGUGAAAGUUGAGAUCCCUGUCAUGGGGAGCAUCGACGCCCGGACUUGAGCUUUUAGCGACGGAUCCGCGGUAGAGCAUGCAUGUUGGGACCCGAAAGAUGGUGAACUAUGCCUGAAUAGGGCAAAGCCAGAGGAAACUCUGGUGGAGGCUCGUAGCGAUUCUGACGUGCAAAUCGAUCGUCAAAUUUGGGUAUAGGGGCGAAAGACUAAUCGAACCAUCUAGUAGCUGGUUCCUGCCGAAGUUUCCCUCAGGA
RNAcentral lists this ribosomal RNA (939 nucleotides) under Amanita battarrae. RNAcentral describes it as "eukaryotic LSU rRNA". It matches the Rfam family "Eukaryotic large subunit ribosomal RNA", at positions 72 to 978 of the family's 3401-position model. The record is from RNAcentral. Lineage: Eukaryota; Fungi; Basidiomycota; Agaricomycetes; Agaricales; Amanitaceae.